AUGCUGUGGAGCAAAAAUCAAGCUUGUGCGUGCCGUGGAAGCAGUGUUCGGGUAGCAAAGGCAGCCGAAGACACGGAGCAUGCUGUAGUCGGGAGCAACGCCAAGGAGAAGCUCGUGAGGGGUGCGCGGCGAGCUGCUAUGACAUGGGCAUCUGUUCAUCAGAAACGUGGCCGUGUUCAGGGCUUCAGCCCAGAAACAGGGCGGCAGCGAGGCAUGAAAAAGGAGAGCGCGCACACUGUCGUUGAGCGUACGCAGAGUGCGCUCGGCCUUGCCAUUCUGCUGGCUAGUGUAGGGGCAGGACAUGCGAAUGACAGUGCCGUGAGAGGUGAGAAACUCGCGCGAGGCAUGACUGUCGAAUUCACGCCCGUUGUCAGUCUGUACAGAAAACACCAGCAGCUGAAACUGAGUGCGGGCGUAGGCGUAGAAAUCGCGCAAGAUGGGGAGGACCUCGGAUUUGUGUUUGAGUAG
This 468-nucleotide ribosomal RNA is filed under the name Triticum aestivum (bread wheat). RNAcentral describes it as "partial small subunit ribosomal RNA". Lineage: Eukaryota; Viridiplantae; Streptophyta; Magnoliopsida; Poales; Poaceae. The record is from RNAcentral.